GACCGAUAGUGAACCAGUACCGUGAGGGAAAGGCGAAAAGAACCCCGGCGAGGGGAGUGAAAAAGAACCUGAAACCGUGUACGUACAAGCAGUGGGAGCCCCACCACUAAGCCAGUGGUGAACUCCACAUCCGCAUCCUUUGCUGAGGAUACGGUUAACGGAGCGAAAGCGACGUUCAACCGCAAAACAAGCAGAGGGGGCUUAGUGGUGGGGUGACUGCGUACCUUUUGUAUAAUGGGUCAGCGACUUAUAUUCUGUAGCAAGGUUAACCGAAUAGGGGAGCCGGAGGGAAACCGAGUCUUAAUUGGGCGUUAAGUUGCAGGGUAUAGACCCGAAACCCGGUGAUCUAGCCAUGGGCAGGUUGAAGGUUGGGUAACACUAACUGGAGGACCGAACCGACUAAUGUUGAAAAAUUAGCGGAUGACCUGUGGCUGGGGGUGAAAGGCCAAUCAAACCGGGAGAUAGCUGGUUCUCCCCGAAAGCUAUUUAGGUAGCGCCUCGUGAAUUCAUCUCCGGGGGUAGAGCACUGUUUCGGCUAGGGGGCCAUCCCGGCUUACCAACCCGAUGCAAACUGCGAAUACCGGAGAAUGUUAUCACGGGAGACACACGGCGGGUGCUAACGUCCGUCGUGAAGAGGGAAACAACCCAGACCGCCAGCUAAGGUCCCAAAGUCAUGGUUAAGUGGGAAACGAUGUGGGAAGGCCCAGACAGCCAGGAUGUUGGCUUAGAAGCAGCCAUCAUUUAAAGAAAGCGUAAUAGCUCACUGGUCGAGUCGGCCUGCGCGGAAGAUGUAACGGGGCUAAACCAUGCACCGAAGCUGCGGCAGCGAACGUAUCACCCAAGACAACUUUACGGAGUUGACGAUUGACGGAGCGAAGCGACGUCAAAGCGUUCAUUAAAGUCGAGUUGGCUUAGGGAUACGUUCGUUGGGUAGGGGAGCGUUCUGUAAGCCUGUGAAGGUGUGUCGUGAGGCAUGCUGGAGGUAUCAGAAGUGCGAAUGCUGACAUAAGUAACGAUAAAGCGGGUGAAAAGCCCGCUCGCCGGAAGACCAAGGGUUCCUGUCCAACGUUAAU
RNAcentral lists this ribosomal RNA (1073 nucleotides) under Salmonella enterica subsp. enterica serovar Typhimurium. RNAcentral's name for it is "partial 23S ribosomal RNA". It matches the Rfam family "Bacterial large subunit ribosomal RNA", at positions 482 to 1369 of the family's 2925-position model. Lineage: Bacteria; Pseudomonadati; Pseudomonadota; Gammaproteobacteria; Enterobacterales; Enterobacteriaceae. The record is from RNAcentral.